AGGGAAUCUUCCGCAAUGGGCGAAAGCCUGACGGAGCAACGCCGCGUGAGUGAUGAAGGUUUUCGGAUCGUAAAGCUCUGUUGCCAGGGAAGAACGUCUUCUGGAGUAACUGCCAGGAGAGUGACGGUACCUGAGAAGAAAGCCCCGGCUAACUACGUGCCAGCAGCCUCGGUAAUACGUAGGGGGCAAGCGUUGUCCGGAAUUAUUGGGCGUAAAGCGCGCGCAGGCGGCUGUUUAAGUCUGGUGUUUAAUCCUGGGGCUCAACCCCGGGUCGCACUGGAAACUGGACGGCUUGAGUGCAGAAGAGGAGAGUGGAAUUCCACGUGUAGCGGUGAAAUGCGUAGAGAUGUGGAGGAACACCAGUGGCGAAGGCGACUCUCUGGGCUGUAACUGACGCUGAGGCGCGAAAGCGUGGGGAGCAAAC
This 424-nucleotide ribosomal RNA is filed under the name uncultured bacterium. RNAcentral describes it as "bacterial SSU rRNA". It matches the Rfam family "Bacterial small subunit ribosomal RNA", at positions 356 to 773 of the family's 1533-position model. The record is from RNAcentral.